Molecule: long non-coding RNA, 1982 nt
Filed under: Haliotis rubra (blacklip abalone)
Lineage: Eukaryota; Metazoa; Mollusca; Gastropoda; Lepetellida; Haliotidae
Description: uncharacterized LOC124286185
Source: RNAcentral
AUAGGAAUUGAGUUUUCAAAUACAUAUUUGCGUAAUUUACGCAGAUACGCAGGUUGUCUGUACCUCUGAAUUACAAUAUGUUGCCAUUUUUCAUUCUGGUUUCUUUUCCAUGUGUAUAUGUCUUAACCGUACGUGCUCUGGAACCUUCCUGUAGGAUAUUAAGCUGAAGAAUUUCGGUAUUUGAGCAGAGAUGUUUGGAUAAUGAUACAUUGGAUUAGAGAAUGAAAGUACGUUUGUUUCAAAAUCCAACGUCAUAAGGCUCCUGAGGAGUUGGACUCUGGGAAGACUGGAGGCCCACGUCGUGUCUUUGUUUCCAAGAGUCUCUCUCGCCCUUGUUAACUUCACAUAUGGACGGUGUGACAAGGGAAGGAGGGUGCGGACAAUAGCCCCCGCAGUCCCUCCAAGAUCUCGAGAGAAAAAUGGGGAAGGUCAAACUAAUCAUCGUACCAAACAGAGACAUUCCACUGAACGAGACGGACCAGUAAACGUCAACAUGCCCAGAAAUCGUACCCCAAGCGCCAUCAAGCCCAGAAAUCGAACUCCAAGCGCCAUAAAACCCAGAAAGUGUACAUCAAGCGCCAACAAACCCACAACACGAACUUGAAACACAGGUAAAUCGAUGGACUAUGGCGGGCACUCCCACAGUUCAGUUCCAGACAAUAGGUAAUCCAAAUCUGAAGAAAUAUACACUAUCAUUACCUACACGGACCAUAUGACUAAGUUAUCUAUGAAGGUCGGUUACAAAGGUAUCACAAAACCAGUGAACACGGGUCUUAUGGUCGUUUGUGCUUACAUGCAUGACUUAACAAUUGGAGACAUCUGACAACACAGUACUCCAAGAUGAUAAUAUUUUCAAUAGACAGCUUAAGAACAUCUGAGUAUAGAACGGAAAAAACAGCACCUUAAUGCUCAUAUAUCGAAUAUGUACUUAAAACGUCAUUUCAUUAGCAUAUGUAUGAAUAUUUUGUAAAACCUACAGCAUUAUUUAUCUUCGUGUUCAUAGCUGAAAGUGAAAACGACAGUGUGGGAUCUGUUCAAGUUGCUGCUCAUCUUGACCACCUAUUGUCGACACCGGAAAGCUUACUCGACCUAGAAGGAGAGAGGCAGAUAACAGUUUCACGUUCCGAUGUGGUCGAGCCGAUAUUGCAGCAUUACAAAGACGAUCCCUCCAUUCUACAAUCACGACUCCAUGUUUCUUUCGCUGGAGAAUCGGGGGAUGAUUUUGGAGGGUUGAGCUAAGAUAUCUUCACAGCAUUUUGGACGGGAGUAUUUGAACCAUACUUCAGAUGAGAGCGAUCUAAGGUGCCAAGCCUACCCUUCCACAGAGUUAGGCAGGAGUUGUGGAAGUAUGAAUCAAUCGGUGGCAAUGACAAGUUGUCUGCCAUCUAUGAUCACGGGAACCUCUAUCACUGGAAUUGUCUCUGCAUCCGAUGUGGGCAAACAAUGCCUUUUAGAAGACUUUUUUUCUUUCUUGUACCAUGGUAAAGCAACACCUGAUUCAAAAGAUGAUGGCGCUUUUCCAGAGACUUGACAAUAAGAGAUGGACUCGCUGAUCACUUUCCUCAGCAUCAAUGGCUUCUUGGGAAUGCCAAACUAUUGGGAAAUCUCAGAUCAAAUCGCAGAAAUUGACCAGAAAGUUGCUUGACAUCCCUCGUCCUCUUUACGAUGCCAUGAGACGUGGUAUUCCAAGUUCACGCGUGUUAUCAUUCUGGGUGCAGUUGACGAUUCACGAAGUUUCAGCUCUUAUCACCCCCCAGCGUCCUACUCCUAUAAUGUGGUAGAUUGUAUAUUGACGGAGGGGGAAUAUAUCAGACCUGAGGAGAAAGUCCUGUACUUCUUGAAACAGUUUGAGAGAGUACUAGAUCAGGAACACCUCAUGUCCUUUCUUCAGUUCGUUACAGGGUCAAUCCACGUGCCAGUUGGGGGAAAUGAGGUAUCAUCGUUGGGGGUUCGAGUUCAAGUUGAAUGAACUGUUAUACAUA